Molecule: ribosomal RNA, 2211 nt
Filed under: Salmonella enterica
Lineage: Bacteria; Pseudomonadati; Pseudomonadota; Gammaproteobacteria; Enterobacterales; Enterobacteriaceae
Description: partial 23S ribosomal RNA
Rfam family: Bacterial large subunit ribosomal RNA
Source: RNAcentral
AGACCCGAAACCCGGUGAUCUAGCCAUGGGCAGGUUGAAGGUUGGGUAACACUAACUGGAGGACCGAACCGACUAAUGUUGAAAAAUUAGCGGAUGACCUGUGGCUGGGGGUGAAAGGCCAAUCAAACCGGGAGAUAGCUGGUUCUCCCCGAAAGCUAUUUAGGUAGCGCCUCGUGAAUUCAUCUCCGGGGGUAGAGCACUGUUUCGGCUAGGGGGCCAUCCCGGCUUACCAACCCGAUGCAAACUGCGAAUACCGGAGAAUGUUAUCACGGGAGACACACGGCGGGUGCUAACGUCCGUCGUGAAGAGGGAAACAACCCAGACCGCCAGCUAAGGUCCCAAAGUCAUGGUUAAGUGGGAAACGAUGUGGGAAGGCCCAGACAGCCAGGAUGUUGGCUUAGAAGCAGCCAUCAUUUAAAGAAAGCGUAAUAGCUCACUGGUCGAGUCGGCCUGCGCGGAAGAUGUAACGGGGCUAAACCAUGCACCGAAGCUGCGGCAGCGACACUGUGUGUUGUUGGGUAGGGGAGCGUUCUGUAAGCCUGUGAAGGUGUGUCGUGAGGCAUGCUGGAGGUAUCAGAAGUGCGAAUGCUGACAUAAGUAACGAUAAAGCGGGUGAAAAGCCCGCUCGCCGGAAGACCAAGGGUUCCUGUCCAACGUUAAUCGGGGCAGGGUGAGUCGACCCCUAAGGCGAGGCCGAAAGGCGUAGUCGAUGGGAAACGGGUUAAUAUUCCCGUACUUGGUGUUACUGCGAAGGGGGGACGGAGAAGGCUAUGUUGGCCGGGCGACGGUUGUCCCGGUUUAAGCGUGUAGGUGUGUGUUCCAGGUAAAUCCGGUUCACUUUAACACUGAGGCGUGACGACGAGGCACUACGGUGCUGAAGCAACAAAUGCCCUGCUUCCAGGAAAAGCCUCUAAGCAUCAGGUAACAUCAAAUCGUACCCCAAACCGACACAGGUGGUCAGGUAGAGAAUACCAAGGCGCUUGAGAGAACUCGGGUGAAGGAACUAGGCAAAAUGGUGCCGUAACUUCGGGAGAAGGCACGCUGACACGUAGGUGAAGUGAUUUACUCAUGGAGCUGAAGUCAGUCGAAGAUACCAGCUGGCUGCAACUGUUUAUUAAAAACACAGCACUGUGCAAACACGAAAGUGGACGUAUACGGUGUGACGCCUGCCCGGUGCCGGAAGGUUAAUUGAUGGGGUCAGCGCAAGCGAAGCUCCUGAUCGAAGCCCCGGUAAACGGCGGCCGUAACUAUAACGGUCCUAAGGUAGCGAAAUUCCUUGUCGGGUAAGUUCCGACCUGCACGAAUGGCGUAAUGAUGGCCAGGCUGUCUCCACCCGAGACUCAGUGAAAUUGAACUCGCUGUGAAGAUGCAGUGUACCCGCGGCAAGACGGAAAGACCCCGUGAACCUUUACUAUAGCUUGACACUGAACAUUGAGCCUUGAUGUGUAGGAUAGGUGGGAGGCUUUGAAGUGUGGACGCCAGUCUGCAUGGAGCCGACCUUGAAAUACCACCCUUUAAUGUUUGAUGUUCUAACGUGGACCCGUUACCCGGGUUGCGGACAGUGUCUGGUGGGUAGUUUGACUGGGGCGGUCUCCUCCUAAAGAGUAACGGAGGAGCACGAAGGUUGGCUAAUCCUGGUCGGACAUCAGGAGGUUAGUGCAAUGGCAUAAGCCAGCUUGACUGCGAGCGUGACGGCGCGAGCAGGUGCGAAAGCAGGUCAUAGUGAUCCGGUGGUUCUGAAUGGAAGGGCCAUCGCUCAACGGAUAAAAGGUACUCCGGGGAUAACAGGCUGAUACCGCCCAAGAGUUCAUAUCGACGGCGGUGUUUGGCACCUCGAUGUCGGCUCAUCACAUCCUGGGGCUGAAGUAGGUCCCAAGGGUAUGGCUGUUCGCCAUUUAAAGUGGUACGCGAGCUGGGUUUAGAACGUCGUGAGACAGUUCGGUCCCUAUCUGCCGUGGGCGCUGGAGAACUGAGGGGGGCUGCUCCUAGUACGAGAGGACCGGAGUGGACGCAUCACUGGUGUUCGGGUUGUCAUGCCAAUGGCACUGCCCGGUAGCUAAAUGCGGAAGAGAUAAGUGCUGAAAGCAUCUAAGCACGAAACUUGCCCCGAGAUGAGUUCUCCCUGAGACUUAGAGUCUCCUGAAGGAACGUUGAAGACGACGACGUUGAUAGGCCGGGUGUGUAAGCGCAGCGAUGCGUUGAGCUAACCGG